CAGAGUUCAUGCCCCUCGGGGCAGACCUCCCACCCUUUGUAUACAUUGCCUCUUGUUGCUUUGGCGGGCCGCCUUUCGGCCGUCGGCCCUGGCCGGCGCGCGCCCGCCAGAGACCCCCCAACCCUGUUUUACAGUGUCGUCCGAGUACUAUAUAAUAGUUA
RNAcentral lists this unclassified non-coding RNA (161 nucleotides) under uncultured Calycina. RNAcentral describes it as "sequence contains ITS1". Lineage: Eukaryota; Fungi; Ascomycota; Leotiomycetes; Helotiales; Hyaloscyphaceae. The record is from RNAcentral.